Molecule: long non-coding RNA, 19757 nt
Filed under: Trifolium pratense (red clover)
Lineage: Eukaryota; Viridiplantae; Streptophyta; Magnoliopsida; Fabales; Fabaceae
Description: long non-coding RNA (TPRA_LNC000721)
Source: RNAcentral
AUUAUGAGAAAUCAAUUAAUUGUUUUUUUUUUGUUCUUAUUACUAUAAGGUAGUUUUUUUUGGUACAUAUAAGAAAUGACAAGCAAUGGAAAAUUCACACAUACAAAGUUGAGGGAUGAGGAUUCUAACCUGGUCAUGGCGUUCGACCUAACGAUUUUGACAUUUCUGCCGGUUAAGAUGGAAUCUGUGGAUUGUGAGCUAUUAACUAUUACUGUUACUAUAACAUAACAUGAAUGAAGCUUUGUCUUUCAUUAUGGUUUUUGUUUCAAAAGAUGGUCAAAAUUAAAACCAUAUCAUGAAAAACAUAUCAAAAAAAUUCUAAACUUCAACAAAAUUUGUGAUUGUUGUGACAGAAGGGACAGAAAAGAUGACAAGAAGAUGGUCUUUUUACAUGGAUUUUCUGCCAGUUGUGGUGAUCAUAGGAAAUGAAUGUAUUGACAUGGGUUUACUCACUUUGUUCAAAGCAGCAACACUUCAAGGAAUGAACAAUCAUGUCUUUAUAGNNNNNNNNNNNNNNNNNNNNNNNNNNNNNNNNNNNNNNNNNNNNNNNNNNNNNNNNNNNNNNNNNNNNNNNNNNNNNNNNNNNNNNNNNNNNNNNNNNNNNNNNNNNNNNNNNNNNNNNNNNNNNNNNNNNNNNNNNNNNNNNNNNNNNNNNNNNNNNNNNNNNNNNNNNNNNNNNNNNNNNNNNNNNNNNNNNNNNNNNNNNNNNNNNNNNNNNNNNNNNNNNNNNNNNNNNNNNNNNNNNNNNNNNNNNNNNNNNNNNNNNNNNNNNNNNNNNNNNNNNNNNNNNNNNNNNNNNNNNNNNNNNNNNACUGUUUUCACCAGAAGGUUCAUAAUAGUUGUUUAUUUAUUGUAAUAUCAUAAACAAAAAACAUAUGCAUAUGAUUUAGUGUCUGUUUAUUGACGGUGAGUUUGGCAGAAUCACGGUGUGCCACCGAGAUUUUGAAAAAAGAAUUAUGUUUUAGAAUUUCAGUAUAUGGUGUCACCAUGAUUUUGUCAAAUUCACCGUGAUUUUAGACAUCAACUUAAGACUUACAUUUCAUUUGACUAAUUUUUUCAUGUUUUUUUGCAGAUUAAGAUUUCUUCCUCCACUCAGUUUCUCAAUUAUAUGCAAAAGUAUGCUUCUUGGGGCAAUAGGGUAAUGACAAAAUGAUCUUAUACUUUACAUAGAUAAUUAAUUGUUAAGUCCUUUUUUUCCUGCUAAUCCACCGUAAUUAAGGUCUUUGACCCCACAGCUGAGGCCCUAUUGAGCUGCUAUGGAACUAGUCUUCGUGUCCGCAGUGAGACAUCCAAUUUUUUUCACCGGAGGUUGAAUUGUCUUCCAAAUAGACGAUUGUAGUGAUCAAACCAGGUUCUUUUCCUGGAGGGAGAGGAUCAUGUUAUCAAACUCUCCCAACACCGUGUCGAUAUGAACUCCUUUUGGUAUACUUGUAAUUUUGUUAUGGCUAGUGUUGAUGUUAGAUUGUUUUGGUCAAAGGGGUCUAUUUAAUUUUAUGUUUCUGAUGAUUUGUGUUUCAUAUUUUGGAAUUGUAUGGCCAUGUUAUGCAGAUGCACAUCUCAGAUUCUGGGGUAUAUAAGUAUAAAUUACAGUUCUCCAACACUUGCUUCAGCAAUUGCUAAUCUUGUACCUGCUUUCACCUUCAUGUUAGCUGUCACUUUCAGGUUUGUGGAAAAUAGUUGUAUGUUCAAAUUCCGCUAUGCAACAGUGCUAUUGACAACAAUUUGUACUGAAUAGUUUAUCGCAGAAUCAUAGCGAUUUGUUGAAAUUUCCCUACGCAUAUUGUUGUAUAGCCGCUAUUUAACAACUUUGGCCAGGAAUGAUAACUUAUUGUGACAAUUGAGUUUUGUCUAUAAAUCAUAGCCUAAUUCCUUAACAGAAUAAGCUAAUUAAAAUUUGAACUUAUGUACCAUAAUGAAAUAUCUUGGUCUAUUGUCUACUUAUUUUGUUUCUUGUUAUCAUUGCAAUGAAGGAUGGAAAAGUUAGCUGUCAAGAGUAGAAGUAGUAAUGCUAAGGUAAUAGGAAGCAUAGUAUCAAUAGCAGGUGCUUUUGUGUUGACUUUCUAUAAAGGACCAUCCAUCAUGAAUUCUUCGUCACUUCUUCAACCAAUUGGAUUUCUCAAGUCAGUGGAUUCAAGUUGGGCCAUUGCUGGCAUUCUGCUGACUAUUGACUAUUUUCUGGUUUCACUUUUUUACAUCUUACAGGUAAGAUUAGUAUUAUAUAACAUGAAAGUUAUACUUUAGAACAUAAAAUAAAAGUAUCAGACAAUGACACGUGUCAGACACCAGACACAUCUUCAAUCUGAAGUGUCGGUUCUACAUAGCUAUUUGCUAAAAUAUACCACUUGAACUUAAUUCUCUUUUCAAUAAUACGAGCGGCGCGCAGUUCUGUAAUUCAUACUUUCCAUCACUUCAUGUGAAUUUUACUCAAUAUACCACUAUAGAUUUUGUCAAAGUCACUGUAUACACCUAAAGUAGCAUUUUCUGUUCACUAAAAUAUGCUGCUAGUUUUUCAGACAUUCCAAGUCCAUUUUACUUACAAGUAAAUAUUAAUUUCUUCAUUUCUUGUUAUCUAAUGAGGGAUUAAGUUAGUAUUAGUACUAAAAAAUUUCAGUUCCUAUAUUCAUUUCACAGGUACAUAUCUUAAAAGAGUUCCCAGAUGAACUAACUUUAGUCUUGUUAUACUCCAUAACAGCCACCAUCAUAUCAACAGUUGUAGCAUUGUUAUCAGUUCCAAAUUCAAGGGCUUGGAAAAUAGGAUUAAAUCUCUCAUUGACCUCCAUUGUUUCUUCUGUAAGAUACACUUCAAAACUACUUCUACACUUUGACCAAAAUUAUUUACACUUCUUAAACUUUGCAGAAUUUAUUGAUGACACAUUUUCUUUUUUCAGGGAAUUUUUGGAAAGUUGAUAGGCAAUAUAGUUUAUGCAUGGGCAGUUCGUUUAAAAGGGGCUGUCUAUGUAACCUCAUUCAAGCCACUGCAAAUUGUUAUUUCUGUUUACUUGGGUGUUAUAUUCCUUGGUGAUAGUCUUUAUGUUGGAAGGUAUGAUUAAUUCAAUUUUUUAUUAUUUCGCAUUCGAUUCUUUCUUGAAACAUAGCGAAGCGAAUAUACAAUGCUUCUACUAGGUGAAGUAUGAGGAGUAUAGCUGUACGUAGUCUUAUCUCUGAAAGUAGAGAGAUAUUUUUCGGAUUUGAACUUGUGACCUCAGGUCACAAGGCAACAACUUUACCGCCAAGAUUCUACCUUCAAACGCGAAGGUUCUAUCUGUCAAAGUCAAUCAUAUUGCACCUGUGCUUUAAGAUGUUAUGUAAAGUUUACUAUUAUGCAGCUGUUUAUCCAAUUUAGGCCUUGUUCCAAUAAACUGUUUAAUUAAGCGUUUAUAGUAGAAACGCAACGCUUCUGAUAUCAGCGUUUAUAUAUAAGCUAUUUCUAUAACAAGAAAAAAAUAACCUCAUUAUUUUCAUAUAAGCUAUAACCAAUUUUCAUAAGCUAUUCUAGAGAGCUUAUGAAAAUAAGCUGAAAAUGGAUUAUGGACAUGUUAUAAGCUGUUUCUAUAAGCUUUUUCAAACUGUCUCAAAAGUGCUUAUACCAGUAGAUAGGUUCAAAUAAGUUAAUCUAAACAGACUCGCGGUUUAGUUUAGUAGUCUGCAUGUACCUUUACUCAAAACCAUGUGUGCUUAUUUAACCUUAACCAUAAACCAGCCACAUUUUAGCAUUAUUGUUGCUCAUUUAUGAUUUUCCAACUUAAUGACAUGGUUGUUAAUUGUUGUUCACUUGUGUACAUUCUUUCUCAAUUCUGCAGUAUAAUUGGAGCAACAAUAGUCUCAGUUGGUCUUUAUGGUGUAUUAUGGGGAAAAGCAUCAGAAGAGAUAGAGGAAGAUAUCGGUAUCUUGGAGUCACCAUCUACAGAGAAUGCACCUCUGUUGCCAAGUUAUAGAACUUAUCAAACUUUUGAAAAGAAAACAGAUGGAAAUGUUUAAAAACACGGUCAUGAAAUCGUGAUUCAAUCAGGAAUCAAAAGUCGUAUACAUCGAAUCAUGUGUCAUAAGAUACAUGCGUCAUGCGCAAUGAAAGUUUGACAUUUUAAGUAAAAACAAGUGAUAUAUGUAAAUAUUAUAAGUUGGUAUAUCAUAUUCAAACCUUGAAAUAAAUCGAGAUUUAAGUCAUAAACCAAAAUGGCAAAAGAAAUAGGUUUAAUUUAAGGAAAACUAUUGAUUUAUCUAAAUUUAUCGAGAUUCAUGUGUAAAAUGUAUAUGUAGAACAAUUAAUAUUGACCUGAGUUAGUUUAUUUCGAAUCGAGAUACGCCUUUGACGACAUGUAUAGUAUGACAUUGAUAGCCAUGUUUAAAAAGACAAGUAAAAACUCUUCACAUUAAAACAUGAAGUGAAGUUUCCAUUUCUAAAUUCUAACCAUUUACUCUUCCUAGAUACCAUUGUCAGUUUCUAUAUCAUUAUUGGAUGUUCUUAUAUUUCUUAAAUGAAAAGCUUUUUCUCCAAAAAAUGUCCAUUGGUGAAAGAGGCUAGAGUUUCAAUAAUAUGAAUUACAUAAUUUCUUAAAAUGAAGGUCACAAAGAUAAAAAAAAUAAAGUAAAAGGAAUCUUAUUUGUCCAUUUGUGUAACAUAGCUUUCCCUGCUGAAAUGUCAAAUUUGUUUGUUCUAAAGAAGUCACUAGUCAUUGACAUUACCUUAUCUAAUCUAAUAGUUUUAAAUUCUUGUUAACUAUUAUACAUAUAGAAUUUUAACUACAAAAAACGUAUUGUUACGCGUACAAUUGCACGCCCUAAACAUGUUCAGGACACCGUCAGUGUAAUUCUACAGUCUCAUACUAUUGAUUGUGGUUUGUUUAAGGUGUAAAUUUUUUGAAAAACUCUUAUUGGUUUCUGGUAAAUUUUCUAGAUUAUAUAUAAUGAAUAGUAAAUAUAGUAUAUGAAAUUUGAAGUGUACUAAAGGGUAUCUGUAAGACAGAAGUCUUGGCUGUAAGGGAUGGACAGAAGGUACUGUUACAAAGAUUUGCUACCUUUUAUGGUUCUUGUUGGCAAUGAAUGCAUCAUAACAGGAGUAUACACUUUGUUCAAAGCAGCAACUUUGCAAGGAAUGAGUAAAUAUGUCUUUGUUGCUUAUUCUUAUACUGUAUCAACUAUCUUCCUCUUUCCUGUGUAUUUUUUUUAUAGAAGGUUUGUAUAAUUACAGUUUUUUAUUGCAAAAUACUGUCUUAAUUAGUACAUGUUUAGAUUAUUGACAGUGAUUAAUGAUUGUUUUUUCAUGUUCUUUUCAGAUCAAGAGUGGUUCCUCAACUCCGUUUCUCCAUCUUAUUUAAAAUUGCACUUCUUGGAGUCAUAGGGUAAGUAAUAAUACUAAAAGGUUUUUUAUAUUUAGUUUGUCUUGGAAUAGAUUUUAGUCUCCAAAAUUUACAAUACAAUUAACAAUCCUCGAUACUCCAUAUAGCUUUUCUAGUCGACUGUUGGACUAUUUAGUUGAUUUUAUGUUAGAUUGUUGGAUAGCUAUAAAAACACUUUUGAGCUUGUUUGUGUGUGCUUACUUACGAAAAGAACUUACGACAUGUCUAUUGGUUUGGAUUUUGGUGGCUAUGAAUAUUUGAAGAUGUUCAGCUCAGAUUAUGGGGUAUGCUGGCAUCAGUUACAGUUCUCCUACACUUUCCUCUGCAAUUGGAAAUCUAAUUCCUGCUUUCACAUUCAUGUUAGCUGCCAUUUGCAGGUUUCAUCCACUUUUUUUCAACUGACAAUUUUUUUCUUCUUUUCAUCUUAGUUUAUUUUGUUAAUAUUUUGAACAAUUUAAGGAUGGAAAAGUUAGCUAUAAAAAGUAGAACUACACAAGCUAAGGUUUUGGGAAGCAUUAUAUCAAUAUCAGGUGCAUUUAUAGUGACUUUCUACAAAGGAAAAUCAAUUAUCAUUGCUCAUAUUUCCUCUUCCUUUUAUCUUCAACACUCCUCAAAUGGCAUUCUUGCAUCAGUAGAUAUAAAUUGGUCCAUUGGUGGCCUUUUGCUGACAGUAUCCAAUAUACUACUUACCAUAUGGUUCAUUGCUCAGGUAUAUAUUUUGUUACCAAAUUGAAGGUGUGUCUGAUGUCUGACACUUAUCAUUAUCGGACAUGAUAUUGACACAUGUGGUAGAUUCAGUUAUUUUAAUUUUUCAAAUCAUUAUUAGUAUUGACGUGUCACUUUCGUAUUUGGUGUUUUGUAUAUGCGUGUCAGUGUUUCAUAGAUUAUAUUUACUUUCUACUAAUAAUUUUGAAUUCUGAUAUAUAUAUGUUCAUUUUGAAGGUUGAAAUCAUGAAGGAGUUUCCAGAUGAACUAACUUUGGUCUUCUUUCACAACUUAUUUGCAACCAUUUUGGCUUUAGGUGUAGGUUUAUUAGCAGAGACAAAUAGUAGUCUUUGGAAUAUAAGACUAGACAUAUCACUGAUCUCUAUUGUCUGCACGGUAAGAUAAGAUAUCCCUAACACUUCUUUUUCUCACUGACACAUGAAACUGACAAAAUAUGAUUAAUUCAUGCACACUGUUAAUGUAAAGUUAUUUUACACCGUAGAUCAGUUAUAAUUGUCAGAUAACUUAAAAUGUUUUAGGAGUCAUGACAUAUAUGAUUUGUUGAUAGUGUCAAAUAUUUUACACUAUUAACAGUGUCUCAAAAUUAAACUUAUGUACUUAACUAAUGCAGCUAAUUGAUUAUGUUAUGAUGUAUUUAUUCUUAGGGAAUAUUUGGCAAGUUCCUGAGUAGUGCAGUAUAUGCUUGGGCAAUACACUUAAAGGGUCCUGUAUAUGCAACAAUGUUCAAGCCACUUUCAAUUAUUAUUGCUGUUGUCAUGGGUAUGGUGUUCCUUGGUGAUACUCUUCAUAUUGGAAGGUCAGCAUAUAUUGUUUUUAUAUUUGAUUCUAGUUUACAAAGAAAGUAUAUAAUGUUUAAAAUAAGAAUAAGAGAAAUUACAUAAAUUGGGGGCCUAAGCCAAAACCUGAUAUAAACAACCAAGGGCAUAAAUAACAUGCCUUGUUAAAAAAACUUACCGCAAUUUCAUGCAUAGCCCUAAUGAGCCCUGCAUGAAAACAAUAGAUAUAUUUAAGUUUUGAGCGAAACAGCUCACAACAGCAACCCUAAUACCACCACACACAGCUGGUCCAGGGUAACCAUUUGUUGUACCAUCUGUGUUGCAUUUGAUCUUGGAAAAAAUAGGUGGAUGCCAUAUAACCUCUUUAAUCCGAGGAGCAUUGGGAGCAUGGAUUAAAAUAGAAAAGGUCUUAAGUAUCACAAAAUCAUGCAUAGCUGAGAAAGAGGUCCCUACAGCAAGAGAAGUAUUGGAGAUCACCAAAAGAGAGGCCGAUUUCCAAGAAAUAAUCUUACCAAAGAAAAUAUUUUUGAAUUUAUGAGGCACGAUUGAUACAUAUAAGGAAAAUGAAAAUAGCUAUAAGUUACUUCUAUAAGUUUUUUCAAACAGUCUCACAAGUACUUAUACUAAUAGAUAAGUUCAAAUAAGUCAAUCUAAAGAGACACUUGGUUUAGUUUAGUAGCAUGCAUGUUUCUUUUCAUUUGGGAACAACCUUCACUCAAACAAGAUAACCAGACAUGUGUGCUUAUUCAUCCUCAACCAUAAACCUGCCACAUUUUAGCAUUUUUCUUGCUCAUUUAUGAUUUUCCAACUUAAUGAUAUGGUUGUUGAAGUGUUCAUUUGCGUAUAUUCUUUAUGAUUUUGCAGUAUAAUUGGAGCCACAGUAAUCUCAAUUGGUCUUUAUGCUGUAUUAUGGGGAAAAACAUCAGAAGAUAUAAAGAAGGAUAUUGUUGGUACCUUUGAGUCACCAGAGAAUGCACCUCUGUUGCAAGGUUAUAGAACUUAUCAAACCUUUGAAAAGAAAACAGUUGCAAAUGUUUAGAAACACGGUCAUCAAAUCGAGAUUCAAUCAUGACUCAAAAGCCCUAUACACCAAAUCAUGAAUCGUAAGAUACAUGCGUUACACGCAAUGAAAGUAUGAUAUUUUAAGUAAAAACAAGUGAAAUAUGUAAAUAGUGUAAGUUGAUAUAUCAUAUUCAAACUUCGAAAUAAAUGGAGAUUUAAGUCAUAAACCAAAAUGGCAAAAGAAAUAGGUUUAUUGUCCAAAGUUGUCAAAAAAAAGUGUGGCCGGCUACGUACACAGGUUUAAUUUAAGGGAAACUAGUGAUUCAUCUGAAUUUAUCGGGAUUCGUGUCUAAAGUGUAUAUGUAGAACAGUUAAUAUUGACAUGAUUUAGUUUUAUUUCGAAUCGAGAUACACCUUUGACACCAUGUAUAGUAUGGCAUUGAUAGCCAUGUUUAAAAAGACAAGUAAAAAUUCUUCACCUUCAUUAAAACAUGAAGUGAAGUUUCCAUUUCUAAAUUCUAAACCAUUUACUCUUCCUAGAUAGCAUUGUCAGUUUCUAUAGCAUUAUUGGAUGUCCUUAUAUUUCUUAAAUGAAAAGCUUUUUCUCCAACAAAAAUGUCCAUUGGUGAAAGAGGCUAGAGUUUCAGUAAUAUGAAUAACAUAAUUUCUUAAAAUCAAGUUCACAAGGAUAAAAUAAAAGGAAUAUCUUAUUAAUAUUAACCCAAGAAUAUUGUGGUGCCUGCCGCCAUAGAACCUGAAUAUUCACGGAGGAGNNNNNNNNNNNNNNNNNNNNNNNNNNNNNNNNNNNNNNNNNNNNNNNNNNNNNNNNNNNNNNNNNNNNNNNNNNNNNNNNNNNNNNNNNNNNNNNNNNNNNNNNNNNNNNNNNNNNNNNNNNNNNNNNNNNNNNNNNNNNNNNNNNNNNNNNNNNNCCAUCCAAAUCGUAUGAAUUGUAUGCAAGAUGUCAGCCAAAGCAAUGUCACGCAGCAGCAGACGAACAGCAGACAGACAACGUAGCAGCAUGUCAACAGGCGAAGAAAAAUCAAAUUUACAUCGUAGUUUACCUUCCAGCCACACCCAAAUGGAGCGCGCAAACUGACAAUCAAAAAACAAGUGACGAGUAGUCUCAUAAGCAUGCAAACAGAGGGCGCAAACAGAAACCAAAACACAUCCUCUCGACCGAAGAUUAUCAUCCGUUGGCAUACGAUUAUGGAUAAUGCGCCACAUUAGAAAUGAACAUGAGGGUGGAAUGAAAUUGCACCAUAUCAAAGUUGCCAUGAGACAGGUGGUGGCUUUGGAAAUAGAUGUAAGCAUCACGAGCUGAUAACAUCCCGUCCUUAGUGUUCUUCCAGCGAGACGAUCAACAACAUCAUAACGAGGUAAUGUAAUCGCCAAAAUCUCGUCCGUCAACCAAGGAGCCAUGUCAUUAAUUAAAUCAGGAACUGUCCAUUGUCCAUUCUCAAUUAAAUUCUCCACCGCCUUAGCCGUAAGAGGGGUGCUGCAUAUGCAAGGGAAUAUUCAAAGCCUCCACAAGCUUUUUCUCCAAAUGAUAAAUGUCCAUUGGUGAUGUGAAAGAGGCUAGAGUUUCAAUAAUAUGAAUAACAUAAUUUCUUAAAAUGAAGGUCACAAAGAUAAAAUAAAAUAAAAGGAAUCUUAUUUGUCCAUUGAUGUGUAACAUAGCUUUCCCUGCUGAAAUGUCAAAUUGGUUGGUUCUCAAGAAGUCACUAGUCAAUUGUGAAAAAAGAAAAAGAAAAAGAAGUCACCACUCACAUUACCAUGGGCCCUUUCCCUCCAUCCAUAUAGAUAUUUUCGUAAGUUAUUUACUAUUUUCAUGUACUUAUUUUAUAAUUUUAUUUUAUUGUUAACUAUUUUCUCCGUGCUUAAUUAUAAGUACUCUUUAAAAGAAGUUUUUUGUCUCUAAAUAUAAGCUCAUUUUCAUGUUUCAAAACAUAUUUAUUAUUUUUUUCAAACAUAACCCUAUUUAAUACUAUUACUUUACGGUGAGGCCUACUAUACACAUUCAUAAUUUGAGGGUAUUUAUCCAUUAACCAAUAAAAACAAACCAUACAAGUGAAUUUGCACGUGGUAUCCACAACUAACUUGUAACAAACUUUUGAAUUUGCAUAUGACUUGUUCUUAUUGGUUGAUAAGUAAAUACACUCAAAUCAUGAAAGAUUAGAUUAGAAAAAACAUGUUUUGCCUCUUGUCGAGGUUCUUUCUUCUUUUACAUUGUAAUAUUUAAAAUCAAACCGGAAAUAAUCAUUUUACAAAGUACAAAAAACGUGUUGUUACCCAUACAAUUGCACACCUUAAACAUGUUCAAAGACACUGUCAUUGUACAUAUUUUUUAUAGACUAAAGGGUGUGUCUGUAAGACUAAAGUACUCUAGUUCUUAGGGAUGGAUAGAAGAUAUUGUUACAAAGAUUUGCUACCAUUUGUGGUUCUUGUUGGCAAUGAAUGCAUGAUAACAGGAGUAAACACUUUGUUCAAAGCAGCAACUUUGCAAGGAAUGAGUAAAUAUGUGUUUGUUACUUAUUCUUAUACUUUUGCAACUAUCUUCUUCUUUCCUGUCUAUUUUUUCUAUAGGUUUGUGUAAUUCCAGUUGUUUAUUGUAAAUCAUAUGCAUAUAUAUAACUUAACUGUCUUAAUUAGUGCAUGUUUAGAUUAAUGAUUGUUUUUUCAUGUUCUUUUCAGAUCAAGAGUGGUUUCUCAACUCAGUUUCUCCAUCUUAUCUAAAAUUGCUCUUCUUGGAGUCAUUGGGUGAGCAAUACUAAAAUUUAGUUUGUCUUGGAAUAGCUUUUAGGGCUUGUUUGGAUUGACUUAUUUUUGAGCUUAUGCAAAACAAGUUAUACAAAUAAAUAAGUUUUUAUGUAUUAUUAUAAGUUUGUCAAGAUAGUUUAUGAAAAAAUAGCUUAUAAAAAUACAAUUUUAGUUAGUGAGAACUUAUGAAUUAACCCCAAAACUUAUUUAUUUGUAUAAGUUGUUUUGCAUAAGCUCGAUUAUUGGACUAUAUAGUCGAUUUUAUGUUAGAUUGUACCUUCUUGUCUUUCAGUCAACUGUUAGAUUAUUAUUUGGUCGGUUUUAGGUACAUUGGACCUUCUUAAGUGUCUUGCAGUCAAUUAUUGGACUAAUUAGUCGGUUUUAGGUUACAUUGUACCUUCUCAAGAGUCUUGCAGUUGACUACUGUCGAACGGAUUGGAUUAUUUGAACUUAUUUAGUUACAUAAACACUUGUGAGACUGUUUGUGAGAGCUUAUAGAAAGAAAAAAAAUUAGGACAUGUUCAUAAGCUUGAUUUCAUAAGCUCUCUAGGAUAGCUAUGAAAAUAGUUUAACUUUAUUUUAUAUUUUGUUCUAGAAAUAGCUUAUACAUAAGAACUUAUAUGAUAAAUGUUUAUGCUAUAAGUAUCAUUAAGAGUCUGUUUAGAUUGACUUAUUUGAGUAUAUCUAUUGGCAUAAGAACUUAUAUAAACAGCUUAUAGCUUAUAUGCUAGUAAUUUAACUGUUUAUCCAAAUAGUGGCUAAUUCUUGUACUUGUUGUGUUUAUGCCAUGAAUAUUUGAAGAGGUUCCGCUCAGAUUUUGGGGUAUACUGGCAUCAGUUACAGUUCUCCUACACUUUCCUCUGCAAUUGGAAAUCUCAUUCCGGCUUUCACCUUCAUUUUAGCUGCUAUUUGCAGGUUUCAGCCACUUUCUUUCAACUGACAAUUUUUUUUCUUUUCAUCUUAGUUUAUUUUGUUAAUAUUAUGUAUUAUAUUUUUAUUUUGUUAAUAUUUUGUAACAAUUUAAGGAUGGAAAAGCUAGCUAUAAAAACUAGAACUACACAAGCUAAAGUCUUGGGAAGCAUUAUAUCAAUAUCAGGUGCAUUUAUAGUGACUUUCUACAAAGGAAAAUCAAUUAUCAUUGCUCAUAAUUCCUCUUCCUUUCAUCUUCAACACUUCUCAAAUGGCAUUCUUACAUCAGUUGAUAUAAAUUGGGUCAUUGGUGGCCUUUUGCUGAUAGUAUCCAAUAUACUAAUUACCAUAUGGUUCAUUGUUCAGGUAUAUAUUUUGUUACCAAAUAUUGGAAUAUAUACAAUAAGGUCUAUGUUAUGUAGCAUCGAAACUUCAGAUUAAAGGUGUGUCCAUUGUCCAGUGUCUGACACUUGUCAUUAUCGGACAUGACAAUGGCACAUGUGGCUAGAUUCAAUUAUGUGUUAGUGUCGUGUGUGGUGUCUGUAUCUGUGCGUCAGUGCUUUAUAGAAUAUAUUUACUUUCUAAUAAUUUUGAUUUCUGAUUUUUAUGUUCAUUUUGAAGGCAGAAAUCAUGAAGGAGAUUCCAGAUGAACUAACUUCGGUCUUCUUUCACAACUUAUUUGCAGCCACUUUUGCUUUUUGCGUAGGUUUAUUAGCAGAGACAAAUAGUAGUCUUUGGAAGAUAAGACUGGACAUAUCAUUGAUCUCUAUUGUCUGCACCGUAAGAUAAGAUACCCCUAACACAUGAAAACUAAAAAAAUAGGAAUUCAUAUACACCGUUAGUGUAAAGUUAUUUUACAAUGUCAAUUAAUUAUAACAACCAGAUCAUUAAAUAUGAUUGCUAGUGAUUUGCUGAUAGUGUAAAAUAUUUUACAUUACUGACAGUGUAUCGAAAUUAAACUUAUGUACUUAACUAAUGCAAUUUAUUGAUUAUGUUAUGAUGUACUUAUCCUUAGGGAAUAUUUGGCAAGUUCAUGGGUAAUGCAAUAUAUGCUUGGGCAAUACACUUAAAGGGUCCUGUAUAUGUAGCAAUGUUCAAGCCGCUCUCAAUUGUUAUUGCUGUUGUCAUGGGUAUGGUGUUCCUCGGUGAUACUCUUCAUAUUGGAAGGUGAGUAGUUUUUAUGCUUAUAUUAGUAGAUAACUUCAAAUAAGUUAAUCGAAACAGACUCUAGCCUGCAUGUAUCUUUUCAUUUAGGAACAACCUUUACUCAAACUAGAUAACCAAAUCAUGUGUAUUCAUCCUCAAUCAUAAACUAGACACAUUUUAGCAUUUGUCUUGCUCAUUUAUGAUUUUCCAGCUUAAUGAUAUCGUUGUUGAAGUGUUCAUUUUGUGUAUACUCUUUAUGAUUUUGCAGUAUAGUUGGAGCUACAAUAAUCUCAAUUGGUCUUUAUGCUGUAUUAUGGGGAAAAGCAUCAGAAGAGAUAGAGGAAGAUGUUGGUACCUUGGAGUCACCAUCUACGGAGAAUGUAGCUCUGUUGCAAAGUUACAGAACUGAUCAAACUUUUGAAAAGAAAACAGAUAGGAAUGUUUAAAAACACGGUCAUCAAAUCGAGAUUCAAUCAUGAAUCAAAAGCCCUAUACAUCGAAUCAUGUACAUUUGUGACGCACAAUGAAAGUAUGACAUUUUAAGUGAAAACAAGUGAUAUAUUCAAACCUUGAAGAAAUAGGUUGAUUGUACAAAGUUGUCAAAAAAAAGUCAUAAAUCAAAAUGGCAAAAGAAAUAGGUUGAUUGUACAAAGUUGUAAAAAAAAAGUGUGGCCGGCUGCACGGGUUUAAUUUAAGGGAAACCAGUAGUUCAUAUGAAUUUAUCGAGAUUCAUGUGUAAAAGAAAUAUGUAGAACAAUUAAUAUUGACUUGAUUUCGAAUCGAGAUACAACCUUGAUGUUAUGUAUAGUAUGAUAUUGAUAACCAUGUUUAAAAAGACAAGUAAAAGCAUUUCACAUUCAAACAUGAAUUGUAGUUUCCAUUUUAGUAAAUGAAAAAUUAGUCAAAAAAUAAAAAGUAAAUGAAAAAUUAAAAAGGUAUCUUAUUUGUCCGUUUGUUCAACAUGGCUUUGCCUGCUGUAAUUAGAGUUACCGGUCACUGACAUUACCUUGGGCCAUUUCCCUCCAUAAUUGAAGUACUAUUCUCAUGUCUUAUCUAAUAAUUUUUCUUGUUAACUAUUACACGUACAGAUAUUUUAAGUGAAAAAAAUAGGCUUAAUUGCAAUUUUAGUGCUUACAUUUUCACCAUUCUGCGACAUUGGUCCCACUGUUUUAAAAUUUGACAGUUUUGACUACUCCAUUGAAAUAUUUGAUCAAAAAUAUGACACCAUCUUAAAAUUGAUAGUUGAGCAGCUCAACCCUAUAAAACAGAUCUGUAAGGCGAGAAUUGUCUUUACCUUUUAAACAUAUCUUCAGACCAUCUCGUAAUCGAUGUGAGAUUUCUUGACACAAUAUAGAACCAAAACUAUCAAAUUUUGAAAUAGAGGGACCAAAUCCGCAAAAGUAUUAUUGCAUGUACAGUUGCACAACAUGUUGAGGAUACCAUCAUCGUACAUAUUAUUUAGACUAUCAAUUAAUUAUAAGAUAUCACAUCAACUUCAACCAUAACAUGUUUUAAAGUCACAUAUAAGAUUGAUACUACUUUUGCAAAAACUCCUAUUGGUUUCUGCUAACUUUCUUAGAUUAUAUAUAACUGAUAUAGUAUAUGAAAUUUGAAUUUUGAAGUGUACUAAAGUUGUGAGGGAUGGACAGAACCUACUGUUACAAAGAUUUGCUACCUUUUGUGAUUCUUGUUGUCAAUGAAUGCAUGACAACAGGAGUAAACACUUUGUUCAAAGCAGCAACUUUGCAAGGAAUGAGUAAAUAUGUGUUUGUUACUUAUUCUUAUACUUUUGCAACUAUCUUCUUCUUUCCUGUCUAUUUCUUCUAUAGAAGGUUUGUAUAACUCCAGGUGUUUAUUGUAAUGUAUACAUAACGCUAUCGUAGUGUAUGUUUAGAUUGACAAUGAUUAAUAAUUGUUUUUUCGUGUCUCGAACUUUUCAGAUCAAGAGUGGUUCCUCAACUCAGUUUCAACAUCUUAUUUAAAAUUGCUAUUCUUGCAGUAAUAGGGUAAGUAAUACUAAAAGGUCUUUUUAGUAUUUAGUUUGUCGUGGAAUAGGUUUUAGUCGACUAUUGGACUAUUUAGUAGGUUUUAGGUUACAUUGUACCUUCUCAGGAGUCUUCCAGACAAUUGUUGGACUAUUUAGUCGGUUUUAGGUUACAUUGUACCUUCUCAAGAGUCUUCCAGUUGACUGUUGAACGAAUUGGAUUAUUUGAGCUUAUGUAGUAACAUAGGCACUUGUGAGACUAUUUGUGAGAACUUCUAGAAAAAACUUAUGACAUCUUCAUAAGUUUAUCUCCAGGAUAGCUAAGAAAAUAGUUAAACAUUAUUUUAUAUUUUGUUAUAGAAAUAGCUUAUACAUAAGCACUUAUAUGAUAAAUGUUAUGCUAAUAUUUAUUGGUUUGGAUUUUGGUGGCCAUGAAUAUGUGAAGAUAUUCAGGUCAAGUAUUAGGGUAUGCUGGCAUCAGUUACAGUUCUCCUACACUUUACUCUGCAAUUGCAAACCUCCUUCCUGCUUUCACCUUCAUUUUAGCUGUCAUUUGCAGGUUUCAUCCACUUUCUUUCAACUGAAAAAUCUUUUUUUCUUUUCAUCUUAGUUUAUUUUGUCAAUAUUAUGUUUUAUAAUUUUAUUUUGUUAAUAUUUUGUAACAAUUUAAGGAUGGAAAAGCUAGCUAUAAAAAGUAGAACUACACAAGCUAAGAUUUGGGGAAGCAUUAUAUCAAUAUCAGGUGCAUUUAUAGUGACUUUCUACAAAGGAAAAUCAAUUGUCUUUGCUCAUAAUUCCUCCUCCUUUCAUCUUCAACUCUCAAAUGACAUUCUUACAUCAGUUGAAACAAAUUGGGCCAUUGGUGCCCUUUUUCUGACAGUAUCAAAAAUACUAUUUACCAUAUGGUUCAUUGUUCAGGUAUAUAUUUUGUAACCAAAUAUUGGAAUAUACAAUAAUUAUGUAGCAUAGACACUUUAGAUUGAAGGCGUGUUCAUUGUCCAAUAACUGACACUUGUCAUUAUCGGACAUCAUAUUGACACACAUGUGGCUAGAUUCAAUUAUUUUAGUUUCUCCAAUUAUUAUUAAUAUUUAGAUUAAAUUGUACUUUUGGCCCUCUAACUUUAACAAAUUUGCGAUUUUGGCCUCCUAACUUUCAUGAUAACACUUUUGGCCCUUAACUUUAUUCCAUUUUGCAAAAGACUAACCCCCAACUGAUUUCGACCAAGUCAACGCACACAUGGACAAUGACUCACAUGUCACGUCAGCUUGUCUUCCCACAUAUGUUGACGUGGCAAGACAUGCUGACGUGAAACGUGAGUCACAUUCCAAGUGUGUGUUGAUUUGGUCAAAAUCAGUGCGUCAGCCUUUUGCAAAAGGCGCUAAAGUUAGCAGGGGCCAAAAGUGUUGUUAUGAAAAUUAGGGGACCAAAAUCACAAGUUUGUGAAAGUUAGGGGCCAAAAAUAUCUGUAUCGGUGUGUCAGUGCUUUAUAGAAUAUGAUUACUUUCUAAUAAGUUUGGAUUCUGAUAUAUAUGUUCAUUUUGAAGGCGGAAAUCAUGAAGGAGAUUCAAGAUGCACUAACUUCGGUCUUCUUUCACAACUUAUUUGCAAGCAUUUUGGCUUUAGGUGUAGGUUUAGUAGCUGAGACAAAUAGGAGUCUAUGGAAAAUAACACUGGACAUAUCACUGAUCUCUACUGUCUGCACUGUAAGAUAAGACGCCCCUAACAUUUUCUUUUCACUGACACAUGAAAUCUACAAACAAUAUGAAUUCAUACAUACUGUUAGUGUAAAGUUAUUUUACGUUAUCAAUCAAUUAUAACUGCCAGGCCAGAUCAUUAAACUUAUGUACUUAACUAAUGCAGAUUAUUGAUUAUGUUAUGAUGUAUUUAUUCUUAGGCAAUAUUUGGCAAGUUCCUAGGUAGUGCAAUAUAUGCUUGGGCAAUACACUUAAAGGGUCCUGUAUAUGUAACAUUGUUCAAGCCACUCUCAAUUGUUAUUGCUGUUGUUAUGGGGAUUCUUUUCCUUGGUGAUACUCUUCAUGUUGGAAGGUGAGUGAGUAUAUAUAGUUUUUAUAUUUGAUUCAAGUUUACAACAUGGGAAAGUAUAGAAAGUAAAUAAGAUUGAAGUUAAAUAAAAGAAGGUAAAUGAAAAUUUAUAUAAUAAGAAUUUUUAUGAUAGUAUGAAAGAAAAUAUUUCGGAAUUUAUGUGGCACGAUUGAUAUAUAUGUAUUAGGAUCUCUUGAGCAUGUUGUCAGAUGUUUCUUAUUGCAUCUAUUACGAGAGCCAACACGGUUUGACACUAUAAUUCUUAGAUGUUCGAUCUCAGGCUCAUGAAUAAGGAAAAUCCAUAGGCUAACCCCUUAAAUGCAUCUUAGUGCCGCGAGGGAUUAGUUUAUAUUGUAAUGGAUCCAAAUUACGGUUCACUUCAAGUAUAUAUAGGCUUAAAAAUGAAUUCCAAUGCAAAGAUAGAAUGUAAUUCGGGAAAACUUUGGAAAUUUAUGCAGAGAAAUAGGAAGAACCAGAAACUGUUAUGGUUUGUAACACUGCUGCAGUUUGUAGAAUUGGCCCAAAUUUUGACGGGGUUAAUGGUAGUGGAAGAUAAUGCUCAUUAGGAUCACCUUUGAAUGGUUUAAGCCAGAAAAUAUCGAACAUUGAGUGAAUUCUUGCGGAUUCAGAGAGCCGGAAAUGGGGUCUAAAGUAUCACAUACACAACUUUUGGUUCUUCCUUAAUGCAGUAGAGUAACGUGUAUAAGGCUCAACUUGGUUUCAGCCGCGAUGGCAUCUCGGCUGCACAGUAACUCCCGCGCAGAUGGUGGACCACUAGAGUAUAAGCCUUGGUUUCAAUCUCUACUACCAUAUAAGCCUUUCAGUGAGGACAUGCCAGAGUUCCAUCCAAUGCAACAUGUUGUAAUAGAAUGCUAGAGCAUCUCAAAUAAAUCUCCAAGCUUGUUUAAAGCCUCGGAUUGACCAUGAGAGUGGAAGUGAUAGGCCGGAGACAUGGCCACAUAUUGAAGACUUUAUCUCUAUCCGAGACAAUGGACUUGUAUAGGGCAUGUAAUUUCGCAAAGUGUUUGCUACUGCCUUGCUAGUGAAGUCAGAUUUCAACGCCAAGAAAACGACUAUACCAUGAUGGCAGUAAAUUCAUAAGAAAGUGGUAAUCCGGUGAUGAAAUCCAUAGCCACAUCUUCUUUCACCUGCUAGGGUAUUGACUAUGGCUGUAAAAGCCCUGCAGUUUUAAGACCCUAAAAUCGGUACAAAACCUUCAACUACCAAUUUACCAUGUUUCUUCCUUGACAAGUAAAAUGAGAGAAGAUAAUUUUUUAUGCAAAAGUUAAGUCUUUUUAUUCUUUAAACAAUGUUCAAAGCACGCCGACUCUCCUUUCGUCAUAAGGCGUGGAAUUGUUAGUAUGAUUCUUUUUAUUUGUUUAACAUUGGCAUUUCAUUGUGCAGUAUAAUUGGAGCCACAAUAAUAUCAAUUGGAUUUUAUACUGUAAUGUGGGGAAAAGCAACUGAAGAGAAGGAAGAUGGUUUUGGUAGCAAGGAAUCACAACCUAUUGAGAAUGUUCCUCUCUUGCAAGAUUAUCAAACUCUCAAAUCAUAAAAAGAAAACAUGCAAGUAGAUUAUCAAACUGUUUUAUUUAGUCGCAACAGUUAUUUCCGUAAUUUUUAUUCACUCUAUAAAAACGGUAACGGACACCACUGAUACAGUUUUAUUCCGUUUCUACGGACAUUUUUUAUAUAAUAACAGACCGUUACUAAUACCGUGAUCUAAAAAAUAUGAACCGGCAGGUUCACAUCAACCAUACUUGGCGUGAAGGAAACAAAUUGGCUGAUUGACUAGCUUACUUUAAUCUGUCUUUAAACUCUUUUGAUUUGCAUGUUUUGGAGGGUUCCUCCUAGAGAUCUUCAAAGACUCAUUUUUUAUGACAUAUCCGGCGCUUGUAAGCGUCGGAGUGUGCCUUUUAACUUUGUAAUUUACUAAUUUUCCUUUUUCCUUCUUGGGCACUCUGCCCCCUUUGUUUACCAAAAAAGAAAAAUCUUGAUUAUAUUUAAUCUUUUUAUAUAUAAUUAAUUAUUCACUUGGUCUUUUCACAUUUACAAAUGCCACUCUAUUAUUAAUAAUCACGUUGCAGAUUUUUAGUAACAACUACUUGAGUCAUUCCAAUUCAACUGAUUUUGCAUUAAUUUAGGGAGCUAUACCUUAGAACAAAAAAAUUGGAACGUGCCUUUUUUGUAGCAACACCCCUUCAAUAUUAUCUUAGUAUUUAUCAUUAAUAAUAAAAUUAUAUAUCCCUAGAGUUGAUUAGACUAUAGUAUAAGGUAUCUGGGUUUGUACACAACAAUAUAAUUACAACUAUAUGGUGAUGUUGUAUACUCACUAGUUGCAAUAAACAACAAAAUAUAUUUGAUUUCAUGAAGUGAUACACAAAUUAAGAAACACAAUUAAUUUUAUAUGGAAGACAUAAAUAAAUUAUAAUUUAGUGAAAAAAAAUAUUUGAGCAGACAUCUGAUUCAACUAACAAUUCAGAAAUUAUUAGAAUAAAGACCUUCAUCCGGGUUCGAAUCCGAGAUAUUUGUUUGUAGAUAAGAAGAAAAUAAAUAAAAAAAUUAUCUGAAUUGUCAUUUUCACCAUUGCUUGUAAAAUUUAAUUUGCUAUCGUGGACCCAUUUUGAGCACAAAUUAAUUAUUCAUAUGUUAUAUGCAAACAGACAAUACCAUGAAAAAGUUUUAAGAUAUUUUGGCCAAACCAAUAUGAAAAACUAUUAUUAUUAUUAUAAUACUAUUAUCCAUUUAAGGCUAAACAUCUUUAACUUUGGUUCUGUUUUUCUAGUCACAAAACCAAAACCAUAUCAUAAUUAACAUGUCUCAGAAAUUCUAAACAUCAACAGAAACUUUUGAUUGUUUGUUGUAACAGAACUGACAGAAAACAUGACAAGAAGAUGGUCCUUUUACAUGGAUUUUCUGCCAGUUGUAGUGAUUAUAGGAAAUGAAUGUAUUGACAUGGGUUUAUUGACUUUGUUCAAAGCAGCAACACUUCAAGGAAUGAAUAAUCAUGUCUUUAUUGCUUAUGCUUAUGCUGUUGGUACUUCUGUUCUUCUCCCUGUCACUCUUUUCACCAGAAG